UAGAAGCAGCUUUGUUUUUGGAAAGUAAAUAUUUGUAUAGAAUUUUCAUCACAAAUAGUUUAAGGAUUCUGUUUGAUGUGUUGCAGAACUGAAUAUUUGGUUCUCUUUCAAUUCUAGAGUAUGAACUACAAUCAAACUGGCCACACCCACAGGACGUUGAACCGCAAUGUUGAAUUAGAAUGACAGUAAGAGGAAUUUACUGGAUUAUAAUUUAAAGAAAUUCAACUCGGACUUUUGCGAGAUGGGUUUCCAGAAUUACUGAUGUCCAUCUCAGCAUCUUGCCAAGACCACUCAGUUCACUUCCAGAUAUAGACACUCUUAUGGUGGAGGGCUGCAGGGUGGAAUGUAGACUCAUCUCCUUAAGUGAGAGAGGAAAGAAAAAAGGCCUCUUCUAGUGUAAGGGUAAACCAAGUGCCAGACUGACGAAUGGAGAUCUCCUCCAACAAUAAACAGAGGGAUAUGUGGACAUAGGAGCCAAGCCUCCAACCAGAAGAUAGAGAGCACAGGGGCAUUUAGAGGAGGUUACUAGCGGUGCAGUCAUUUCACACUUUUCAAGAGAUUUGAACAGAUCUGUUUACAAAGCAGAGGAGAAAUGAUUGGGCUCACUGCGUUUCCAAUCAAGGACAAUUAAAAAACCUCUCGGUUAGAAAGUCACAAUAAAAAAAAUCUAAAUACUGCUGAAAAGAGGGUAUGUUUUGUCCCUGCAAAUUUCUCUGCGGAAUUUAAUGCAUUUCACAGUUUGUUUAUUAGUGCUCCAGCCAUGUGGAAUGCAGAGUAAUGGCACCACAGAGGGAACACAUCGCAGGGACCAUUAGCUAACUAGAGCAGCUCAGACACUGAGUUUAGAGAGAGCUGUCCAAAGUGUGACACACACCUCUACUGUGCACACACACUUGCAAAUGGAAACACUUUUUACCUUUUUACGAUUUUGAUGAGCCACACAGGCGUUUAUUUGCAAUACUCAUUCUGAAAAUAUAGUCUAUAAAUAACUCAAAAGUAUAACAGAUAUGUUGUCUGAAAAGCUUAUGUUGGAAUGGGAA
Molecule: long non-coding RNA, 1040 nt
Organism: Carassius carassius (crucian carp)
Lineage: Eukaryota; Metazoa; Chordata; Actinopteri; Cypriniformes; Cyprinidae
Exons: 3
Source: RefSeq, a predicted model, not a curated record